GAUCCUGGCUUAGGAUGAACGCUAGCGGCAGGCUUAACACAUGCAAGUCGAGGGGCAUCGGGAGUAGCAAUACUUGCCGGCGACCGGCGCAAGGGUGCGUAACGCGUGAGCAACAUGCCCGUAUCAGGGGGAUAAUCCAUGGAAACGUGGUCUAAUACCCCAUAGUAAUUAUGUAAGGCAUCUUAUAUAAUUUAAAGCUUUGGUGGAUACGGAUUGGCUCGCGUGACAUUAGCUAGAUGGUAAGGUAACGGCUUACCAUGGCUACGAUGUCUAGGGGUUCUGAGAGGAAGGUCCCCCACACUGGAACUGAGACACGGUCCAGACUCCUACGGGAGGCAGCAGUGAGGAAUAUUGGACAAUGGAUGGAAAUCUGAUCCAGCCAUGCCGCGUGCAAGGAAGACGGCCCUAUGGGUUGUAAACUGCUUUUGUAUGGGAGCAAUAAGGGCUACGCGUAGUCCGAUGAGAGUACCAUACGAAUAAGCACCGGCUAACUCCGUGCCAGCAGCCGC
This 509-nucleotide ribosomal RNA is filed under the name uncultured bacterium. RNAcentral's name for it is "bacterial SSU rRNA". It matches the Rfam family "Bacterial small subunit ribosomal RNA", at positions 15 to 518 of the family's 1533-position model. The record is from RNAcentral.